This 253-nucleotide ribosomal RNA is filed under the name uncultured bacterium. RNAcentral describes it as "partial 16S ribosomal RNA". It matches the Rfam family "Bacterial small subunit ribosomal RNA", at positions 524 to 776 of the family's 1533-position model. The record is from RNAcentral.
UACAGAGGGUGCGAGCGUUAAUCGGAAUUACUGGGCGUAAAGCGCGCGUAGACGGUUUUGUAAGUCGGAUGUGAAAUCCCCGGGCUCAACCUGGGAACUGCAUUCGAGACUGCAUUGCUAGAGUAUGGAAGAGGGAAGCGGAAUUUCCGGUGUAGCGGUGAAAUGCGUAGAUAUCGGAAGGAACACCAGUGGCGAAAGCGGCUUCCUGGUCCAAUACUGACGUUCAUGUGCGAAAGCGUGGGGAGCAAACAGG